UGUGUUAAGCAAGAAUCUAACGAAGUAACAUUAAAGCUAACAAGAACAAGUCCUUUGGGUCUCUGGGAGAAUGAUGCUAUGAGGGAAGCUCAAGAAAGAGAUGAUGACCUUCGGCACAUCAUCACAUGGAAGAAACGGGGUGACGUAAAACCAAUCUGGAGUGAGGCGUACUGGGCUCAAUGGGACAGUCUGAUACUUCAAAAUGGAAUACUCUACCGCAAA
RNAcentral lists this unclassified non-coding RNA (222 nucleotides) under Melitaea cinxia (Glanville fritillary). RNAcentral describes it as "misc RNA ENSMCXG00005000277.1". Lineage: Eukaryota; Metazoa; Arthropoda; Insecta; Lepidoptera; Nymphalidae. The record is from RNAcentral.